RNAcentral lists this ribosomal RNA (250 nucleotides) under uncultured prokaryote. RNAcentral's name for it is "partial 16S ribosomal RNA". It matches the Rfam family "Bacterial small subunit ribosomal RNA", at positions 524 to 774 of the family's 1533-position model. The record is from RNAcentral.
UACUUAGGGGGCAAGCGUUAUCCGGAUUUAUUGGGCGUAAAGCGUGCGUAGGCGGUUUAUUAAGUCUGAAAUAAAAGCCCGAGGCUCAACCUCGGUUCGUUUCAGAUACUGGUAGACUAGAGUAUGGUAGAGGCGAAUGGAAUUCCUAGUGUAGCGGUGAAAUGCGUAGAUAUUAGGAGGAACACCAGUGGCGAAGGCGAUUUGCUGGGCCAUCACUGACGCUGAGGUACGAAAGCGUGGGUAGCAAAUA